RNAcentral lists this ribosomal RNA (1208 nucleotides) under uncultured bacterium. Its description in RNAcentral is "bacterial SSU rRNA". It matches the Rfam family "Bacterial small subunit ribosomal RNA", at positions 144 to 1363 of the family's 1533-position model. The record is from RNAcentral.
CAACGGGGUGGAAAACGGCCCGGUUAAAUCCCGCAUACGGUUUUUCGGGCAGCCAAGACAACCCGAAGAGGAAAGUUUUGAGUUGUUAAAGAAGGGGGUUGCGGCCCAUCAGGUAGUUGGUGCGGUAACGGCGCACCAAGCCGACGCGGUAGGGGGCUUAGAGGGUACCCCCCACAUUGGGAUUGAGACACGGCCCAGAUUCCUACGGGAGGCAGCAGUAAGGGAUAUUGCGACAAUGGACGAAAGUUUGACGCAGCAACGCCGCGUGAGGGAUGACGGCCCUCGGGUUGUAAACUUCUUUUUUGUGGGAAGAGACAGGACGGUACCACAGGAAGAAGUCACGGCUAACUACGUGCCAGCAGCCGCGGUAAAACGUAGGUGGCAAGCGUUAUCCGGAUUUACUGGGUGUAAAGCGUGUGCAGGCGGUCAUGUAAGUAGCGCGUGAAAGCGCCCGGCUUAACCGGGCGAGGACGUGCUGUACUGCAUGACUGGAGGCUGGUAGAGGCGGGUGGAAUUCCGGGUGUAGUGGUGAAAUGCGUAGAGAUCCGGAGGAACACCAGAGGCGAAGGCGACUCGCUGGGCCAGUACUGACGCUCAGACACGACAGCAUGGGGAGCGAACGGGAUUAGAAACCCCGGUAGUCCAUGCCGUAAACGAUGCAGAUUAGGUAUCGCGGGGGUAAAACCCGGCGGCGCCGCAGCCAACGCGUUAAGUUUGCCACCUGGGGACUACGGCCGCAAGGUUAAAAUUCAAAGGAAUUGACGGGGGCCCGCACAAGCAGCGGAGCGUGUGGUUUAAUUCGAGGUACACGAAGAACCUUACCUAGGCUUGACAUAAUGGUGGUAGGGAACCGAAAGGGGACCGACCUUCGGGAGCCAUUACAGGUGCUGCAUGGCUGUCGUCAGCUCGUGUCGUGAGAUGUUCGGUUAAGUCCGGUAACGAGCGCAACCCCUGCCAUUAGUUGCCAGCAUUAAGUUGGGCACUCUAGUGGGACUGCCGGUGAUAAGCCGGAGGAAGGUGGGGAUGACGUCAAGUCAUCAUGGCCCUUACGGGCUGGGCUACACACGUGUUACAAUGGCAGUGACAAUGGGCAGCCACUCCGCGAGGGGGAGCUAAUCCCAAAAAGCUUGUCUCAGUUCGGAUUGUUCUCUGCAACUCGAGAGCAUGAAGUCGGAAUCGCUAGUAAUCGCGGAUCAGCAUGCCGCGGU